Molecule: long non-coding RNA, 1115 nt
Organism: Vollenhovia emeryi
Lineage: Eukaryota; Metazoa; Arthropoda; Insecta; Hymenoptera; Formicidae
Exons: 3
Source: RefSeq, a predicted model, not a curated record
GCGGCUAGGAACCUUCGGUUCAAUACUUCUCAAACACUUACAAAAUUGUGGAUUAAAGGAAUAAAAGGUAUUAAAUUGCGUGCUUCUCAAAUAAAUCAAUUGUCUACAGAUUUGAAGCUGUUAAUACCAUACAUACCUAAAGAAUUUUCUAGAAAACCAAGAGGUUUGGAUGAAUUGGAUCGCAUACUGUAUUUAAAUAAAGACCUGCAGCAUCCACAUCGUCAUCAAAAAAAGAGGAUUCCCUUCCCAGUGCAUGUACGACCACACUUUUAAAUCAAUAUGAAUUCGAAUUCGAUGCAAUCUUGGAAACGAGAGAAGACUUAGCAAUCUAUACGUCUCCAAUUCCAGACAAUACAGACAUGAAUUAACUGUUUCACUGGAUUUUCCGAACCAGGCUAUUUAAAUAAACACAAGUUUUUGACACAAAAAAGUAAUUCCUGUUAUGCAAAACUGAUUUAUCUAAUAAUUAUUUCAUUAACAAUUUGCAAAACUAGAACACUAGAAUUUUUAACACACAUUUUCUAAUUCUACAAACCUGUUUCAUGUGACUCGUGUAAUAUUACAUACGAAAUUAUUAUAAAUAAGAUAUUGUAUUACAGUUUCCAAACGUAAUUUUUUCAAAUAUUUUAUGUUAAUACAGAUCGAACACUUCACAAUCAACGAAGUAUGUUAUGGAUUGGGUUUUCCAUGCAAGUGACACUAAAUUUUCAUCAUUGCAAAAAAUGUAUAAUAUACCUAUUUGGACGAGUCACUCGAAUGUGAUGAAUAUGACGGAACAGUAGAAUAAAUCGUGUUAUGUUAUAUGAAAAAAUCGCAGUUUAGAAAACCAACUUGGAGAAAAGUUCCCUAGACUAAUCGGAUUUAUAAACAUGUCUAUGGAACAAUCGGAUUAUAUCGGAUUAAUACGAAAUUGUAGGAAAACGCGAAAAUUUUUCUCGUCGCAGAAUUUUGAGAAGAAAUGAAAAAAUAGAGAAACAAAUAGACCGUAACCUCACUCUGUUUCAAUCACUUAUGGUUAACGAUUACAUGCGUAUAAUCUACUACACCUAGUGUAGUAGAAGAAGCGGCAAUUACUACUGAAGCAUUCAAUCAAUUGUCUUGUACAAAUAAUGUAU